This 56-nucleotide transfer RNA is filed under the name Clarias batrachus (walking catfish). RNAcentral describes it as "partial tRNA-Thr". Lineage: Eukaryota; Metazoa; Chordata; Actinopteri; Siluriformes; Clariidae. The record is from RNAcentral.
UCUAAAAGCCACGGUCUUGUAAUCCGGAGAUCGAAGGUUAAAAUCCUUCCUAGCGC